Molecule: long non-coding RNA, 1350 nt
Organism: Armigeres subalbatus
Lineage: Eukaryota; Metazoa; Arthropoda; Insecta; Diptera; Culicidae
Exons: 4
Source: RefSeq, a predicted model, not a curated record
UAUCUGUCAGUUGCAAAAAUAAAAGUUGAAAACGUGAGUGCGAUAAUUUUGUUCGCGUGAGAAAAAAGGCCAAAUUUUCUUUCGAUCCUGGAUUUUGAAGCUCUACGAGCCGGAACCGGCGCUAAGAUAGUGCUACGCAUCGAUUGACAAGCAGUCGCCGAAUGCUGCUUACCCCUGCCAUCUCUCACCAGCAAACGUUUCCUCAGUCACUAUUCCAGCCAAUUCCAGCCAUCGGUUCCGUCAUAGGUCAGGUUGCAGAAUACAUGUCCUGCUGCUGGUUAAUGAAGAAAGUCCAUUGCUGCAGAACUCUGAUGGAAUCUGGAACAGAGCUGGGAAAACAACUUGAGAAUCAUCACUUUGACCGGAUGGAACAGCUCUCUGAUUCGAGCAAAUACGUGAUCUUGUCAUAAUGCGCAAGAAUAGUGGGACACCGCGGAAGGUGGCCUUCUGGUGCUGCGUCCGCCGUUUGGCUGCGAGUCAGGGUGAAUGGGAUCUGGCAUCGCAAUUCCAGCGCUAAUCAUGGUACCCUAGAACCCGGUUUUCUUUCAAGACGUAGAACAUAAACAUGAAGAUAAAAUAAAUAAUAAAUAUUAUUAUAAAACUAAAAAUUUAUUUUGGCAUUUGAUUGGAAUAGAAAGUACACAACACUUGUUGCUUUGAAAGUAUCACUAUUGAUUCUAAUGUAAAAUACACAGUUAAUUUGAGAGGAAAAUGUCAUUUUGAAAAGUAAAAUACACAUUUAGUAUUGAGAGAAAACUGUUAUUUUGAAAAGUCGGCUCUUGUUAAAGUUCCUCCCGAAGUGACAUUUUUGCAAUUGUAGAUUUAACAAUGUUAUACUUUCUACACACAAAAAACAAACAUGGUUUCACAGAAUAUUUUGCACUUUCUUCUUGAAAAGUGCUUGAUUUUCUUAAAAUUAAAAAUGAAAUUAGUCUCGUUAAAAAUUACUUUUUUAUUUGAGAGUUUUUCUUUCUUCGGUUCCCGACGAUAAAUAAAAGUUCUUCCAUUCAACCUGAAAAUUAUUAAACUGUCAUACACAAAACGAUAUACUAGAUGGUGCAAAAACGACAAUAAAAACAAAACAGCAACGAUUUAAGUCAGCCGCCACUGCCACCGGCAGAAGUUUUUUUUUCUAAUUUGUGCAGUGGAGUUGUUGAUCACAUCUACGGAAUCAAGAGAUUCGGUUCAUGACUGGAAAACUAUGGCGCGUUUUAAAAUCUACAAGAGGGGCUGGGGUCGCUGGAUAAGCCGCGCCGGUAGUCUUGGAAGCUGCAAGCUGCAUAACACGACGAUUAACACGAAUGAGGACAUCCUGUUGCAUGAGCGCCUAUAAACUCAGUUUAAUGAAUU